CCCGAUCAAACUCCUACUAUUCGGAGUUUAUAAGUACCCAAUCAAAGUACUUUCGCUAACAACAACCUCGACUAGACAUCGUCUCUCACGAGCCUAUCCUUAUAGUCCAACCAGCCUAAGGUUUGCUAGGUCUACUAAGACUCAACCCUAGGCUCUGAUACCACUAUAAUCUGUCACGCCCGGGUACCAGCGGAAGCAUAUCCGGUACGUGCACAGACCCGCCAUACACCUGCAGUAUAUAAGGCGUCUACAAGAAGCAAGUCGAUAGGAAGUAAAACAAGAAGUCCUAUCCUGAUAUCAGAGCAAAAUACAAGUCGAUAUACAACGAGUAUCAAAUCCAAGUCAAAAUACAAAGAGUAUACAAUCCAGGAUCUCAACAAAAAGGAGAAGUAACACUACUAUAAUCUCAACCCCGAAAGUAAAUAUACAUCACGGGUGUACAAAAAGAAUAGAUACAAUGGUGGUCUCUCUAUAUAUAUAUGGACAUCACCCUCGGCCGUAGCCCGAGUAGCAAGGUGAUCGACUAGCACGCUCCUAGUAGUCCCUAGCUAGGCGCGACUCCCUUGCCACGAUCCCUAGCCUCUCCUGUAACAGGCUCUGUAAAAACAACCACCAAAAGGGCGUGAGAACUAUUAACAAUAGUUCCCAGUGGGUAAGCCGCCAGCCUCGGCGAAUUACACCACUAGGCUCAAGAUGUACUAAAUGAAAGCAAUAACAAUAAUUGCAUGAUUUAUAAGCAUGAUGCUAAUAAGUAAUAAGCAUGUAAUCAACAUGUAAUAGCUUUCUACAGUAAUGAACCAUUUGCAUAAAAGAGAUAUAGCAACUUCUGUAAUCAUAAACAUAGACAUGAGUAUAAGCACGAAUAUAAAAGUGACUACUGUACACUUUAAGUAAUAAACAUUCAUUACUGUCCUUUUUCAUUUAGUACUUUCCUUUCAUUCACAGGGACCUACCCAAGGUAGUCCAGCUUGCGCCGCGCCUAAUGGCCCCGUGGUAGUAUACACUCCCCACGGCAAUCCACUUCGGCACCCAAUCCCGCACGGGCGAGCAACUGUCGCGUAGGCCAACUCCGGAGUGCCGGCUUGUAGGGAGCUACCCUCACAAGCGUGUGCGAAUGAGCACAAUGGCAAGCAAGCAAAAUCCAUUGUCCAACAUGUUUCAAACAUCAUGACAUAGUAUGCUAUGUUCUACUCUCGAUCUAUUGAUCAGAAUUCUCAAC
Molecule: long non-coding RNA, 1219 nt
Filed under: Ananas comosus (pineapple)
Lineage: Eukaryota; Viridiplantae; Streptophyta; Magnoliopsida; Poales; Bromeliaceae
Description: long non-coding RNA (ACOM_LNC034968)
Source: RNAcentral